GCCCUGUGUUUCCUGGAAACUGCAGCGCAGUGCUUCAGCUGAUCUGAAAGGGCCGACAUCACCCCUGUGACAAUUGCAUGGGGCCUGUCAUGCUGCCAAUCAGCCCCCACAGCCUGGUUACAGGCACAUGC
Brienomyrus brachyistius is the source of this 131-nucleotide small nucleolar RNA. RefSeq annotates it as small nucleolar RNA SNORA84. The record is from RefSeq and is a predicted model, not a curated record. Lineage: Eukaryota; Metazoa; Chordata; Actinopteri; Osteoglossiformes; Mormyridae. The transcript has a single exon.